RNAcentral lists this non-coding RNA (21 nucleotides) under Caenorhabditis elegans. Lineage: Eukaryota; Metazoa; Nematoda; Chromadorea; Rhabditida; Rhabditidae. The record is from RNAcentral.
UAAGCAAUUGUGGAAGCAGUG